CCCUUAGAUGUUCGGGGCCGCACGCGCGCUACACUGAAUGGAUCAACGUGCCUUUCCCGAGGCUGAAAAGUCGAGGUAAUCCGUUGAACCCCAUUCGUGACGGGGAUAGGAGCUUGCAAUUAUUCUCCUUGAACGAGGAAUUCCUAGUAAACGCAAGUCAUCAGCUUGCAUUGAUUACGUCCCUGCCCUUUGUACACACCGCCCGUCGCACCUACCGAUUGAAUGGUCCGGUGAAAUCUUCGGACCGUGACUUUGAUUUGUUUACUCAAAACGCUGUUACGGGAAGUUGAUUAAACCUUACCAUUUAGAGGAAGGUGAAGUCGUAACG
RNAcentral lists this ribosomal RNA (328 nucleotides) under uncultured eukaryote. RNAcentral's name for it is "partial 18S ribosomal RNA". It matches the Rfam family "Eukaryotic small subunit ribosomal RNA", at positions 1470 to 1796 of the family's 1831-position model. The record is from RNAcentral.